This 251-nucleotide ribosomal RNA is filed under the name uncultured Lachnospiraceae bacterium. Its description in RNAcentral is "partial 16S ribosomal RNA". It matches the Rfam family "Bacterial small subunit ribosomal RNA", at positions 524 to 774 of the family's 1533-position model. The record is from RNAcentral. Lineage: Bacteria; Bacillati; Bacillota; Clostridia; Lachnospirales; Lachnospiraceae.
UACGUAGGGGGCAAGCGUUAUCCGGAUUUACUGGGCGUAAAGGGAGCGUAGACGGCGAAGCAAGUCUGAAGUGAAAGCCCGGGGCUCAACCGCGGGACUGCUUUGGAAACUGGUUGGCUAGAGUGCUGGAGAGGUAAGUGGAAUUCCUAGUGUAGCGGUGAAAUGCGUAGAUAUUAGGAGGAACACCAGUGGCGAAGGCGGCUUACUGGACAGUAACUGACGUUGAGGCUCGAAAGCGUGGGGAGCAAACA